Molecule: non-coding RNA, 64 nt
Organism: Salarias fasciatus (jewelled blenny)
Lineage: Eukaryota; Metazoa; Chordata; Actinopteri; Blenniiformes; Blenniidae
Source: the annotation of a RefSeq genome assembly
AGCCCUGGGGUGUAACAUAUAAGAUUGCAAAUCUUAAGAAGCAGAUUAACCUCUGCCGGGGCUU